This is a non-coding RNA of Sus scrofa (pig), 72 nucleotides long. The record is from Rfam. NCBI's taxonomy places the organism in Eukaryota, Metazoa, Chordata, Mammalia, Artiodactyla, Suidae.
UCCCUGGUGGCCUAGUGGCUAGGACUUGGUGCUUUCACCACUGCAGCCUGGGUUCAAUCCCUAGUCUGGGAA